Mycena crocata is the source of this 99-nucleotide non-coding RNA. The record is from the annotation of a GenBank genome assembly. NCBI's taxonomy places the organism in Eukaryota, Fungi, Basidiomycota, Agaricomycetes, Agaricales, Mycenaceae.
GCCUGCAUGGUGUAAUGGUUAACACACCUUCUUCGAAUGACUCCCUCCCAUCAGUUCACUUCUCCGAAGGAGCUCCUGGUUUGACUCCAGGUGCGGGCU